UAGUGAUUAACGCGAAGAACCUUACCCAGGCUCGAACGGUGAGUGACAUCCGGCGAAAGUCGGCUUCCGCAAGGACACUUGUCGAGGUGCUGCAUGGCUGUCGUCAGCUCGUGUCGUGAGAUGUUGGGUUAAGUCCCGCAACGAGCGCAACCCUUGUCCUCUGUUGCCAUCAGGUUAUGCUGGGCACUCUGAGGAGACUGCCGGUGACAAACCGGAGGAAGGUGGGGAUGACGUCAAGUCAGCAUGGCCUUUAUGUCUGGGGCUACACACGUGCUACAAUGGCAGAUACAAACCGUCGCGAUACCGCAAGGUGGAGCUAAUCGGAUAAAGUCUGUCUCAGUUCGGAUUGCAGGCUGCAACUCGCCUGCAUGAAGUUGGAAUCGCUAGUAAUCGCGGAUCAGCACGCCGCGGUGAAUACGUUCCCGGGCCUUGUCACACCGAAUCGAAUUC
RNAcentral lists this ribosomal RNA (450 nucleotides) under uncultured soil bacterium. Its description in RNAcentral is "bacterial SSU rRNA". It matches the Rfam family "Bacterial small subunit ribosomal RNA", at positions 951 to 1384 of the family's 1533-position model. The record is from RNAcentral.